Molecule: long non-coding RNA, 435 nt
Filed under: Apteryx rowi (Okarito brown kiwi)
Lineage: Eukaryota; Metazoa; Chordata; Aves; Apterygiformes; Apterygidae
Description: lncRNA (ENSARWG00000010911.1)
Source: RNAcentral
CUUUGUUGUUGUGCUCUUUUAUAGACUGCAGACCUUUUCAUGACUCUUGUGUUUGAGCUUCGACAUCUUUCUCUUCAGGCCUUAAGGGCACUAUGGCGAAGAUCUUCCUUUAAAUGCAGAGAUAACUGGCAGCCCCUAAUAGACGCUCUCCCAUCGUGUGCUACGGAGGCAUGUGUUCUGCUAAUGAAAGAAAUUAUAGUCUCCAGAGAAGUUGAGGAAGACAAAGUGGAAUCUUUCCUUUGGUCAUUUUCGUUCAUUCCUAAGCCUACUUCUGGCAUGAUUGAAUCUCUUGCUCCUUUGCUGCAGUCAGCGGGAGCAAGCCAGAGCUCCUUCUUAGGAAUAACUGCUCUUGUACAUAGGUUUUGUUCAGCUCACAAAUCCUGUGAUGGUGUGCCUGCUGUGCAGAGUGUGAUGAGGACUCUUGGUGAAUUUCUG